UGUAUCAUUUUAACAAAAUCACCCAUUGCCCACCUAAAAUCAGUAUUCGAUAACACAAAACUAUUUUGAGGUGUCCAAAUCGAAGUUAUGUUUAUAGCAACACAAGUUGAGUUUAUUUUUGUGGUAGAUGUACGUACGCAGUGUCUCAAGUGAUAGUUUCGACGAUGUUUAAUAUUCUAAAGAAAUAAGCUUUUUCAGGUGUAAUAAGGACGUUAGUUUGAGUAAAUCUUUGUCUUGGCUCCUGCGACACGGGGCCGUUAAAGAAGGCUUACGAAUAAGUCCUGAAGGAUACAUAGAAGUUAAUCAAAUAUUGCAGCACAAGAAUUUCCGAGGGAAGUACAAUCAGUUGGUUAUUGAGAGGGUGGUUGCCAGCAAUGAUAAACAGAGGUUCAAAUUAAGAGUCAAUUCAAAUACGCAUGCAUUGGAAAUUAAAGCCAACCAGGGCCAUACUCUAACAGUAUCUGAUGCGAACUAAUUCCUAUACUGCAGCCCAUAUACAGCACAGUAAUUCAUGGAACAUAUUUAAAAUGUUGGCCAACGAUUAAAGUCAGUGGCCUGCAUCGCAUGCGCCGGCAACACAUACACCUGGCUAAAGGCACUAUCGGCGACAGCGCUGUGAUCAGUGGCUUGAGAGAAAGCGCACAGGUGUACAUCUACAUUGAUCUCCCUAAAGCCCUGGCUGAUGGAUUAAAGUUUUAUGAAUCAGAGAAUGGAGUAAUACUCACUGCUGGUGACCUAAAAGGAUAUUUGACGCCAAAAUAUUUCUUGAAGGCGGUUAAAGUCAGCACAGCGUGACGAAGCAUCAGUAGGCCGACAUAAUGAUGUCGAAUGGCAUGAGAUAGCCAUCUGUUACAAUUCGAUACUUUACCUGGACGCCAUCGUGCUUACCGUCAGUUGCAGCUUUGCCAUUCCAAGAAUAAAAAAAAAUGUAAUGGUCUAAAAUUUGUCUUUUAAUGAUUCCAAGCUCCAUAUUCU
Molecule: long non-coding RNA, 975 nt
Organism: Manduca sexta (tobacco hornworm)
Lineage: Eukaryota; Metazoa; Arthropoda; Insecta; Lepidoptera; Sphingidae
Exons: 4
Source: RefSeq, a predicted model, not a curated record